RNAcentral lists this ribosomal RNA (779 nucleotides) under Clostridioides difficile. Its description in RNAcentral is "partial 23S ribosomal RNA". It matches the Rfam family "Bacterial large subunit ribosomal RNA", at positions 316 to 1097 of the family's 2925-position model. Lineage: Bacteria; Bacillati; Bacillota; Clostridia; Peptostreptococcales; Peptostreptococcaceae. The record is from RNAcentral.
ACGAAGAGGUAUCGUAAUUGAAGAGGUUUGGAAAGACCCACCACAGAAGGUAAUAGUCCUGUAUGUUAAACGAGAAGACUUCAGAUAUGAUCCAGAGUACCACGGGACACGUGAAACCCUGUGGGAAGCAGGAGGGACCACCCUCCAAGGCUAAAUACUACCUAGUGACCGAUAGCGUAUAGUACCGUGAGGGAAAGGUGAAAAGAACCCCGGGAGGGGAGUGAAAUAGAACCUGAAACCCUGCACUUACAAGCUGUGGAAGCACAUUUCUUGUGUGACCGCGUACUUUUUGUAGAACGGGCCAACGAGUUACGUUAAGUAGCAAGGUUAAGCACUUAAGGUGCGGAGCCGUAGCGAAAGCGAGUUUUAACUGAGCGUUCAGUUACUUGACGUAGACCCGAAACCGGGCGACCUACCCAUGAGCAGGAUGAAGCGAAAGUAAAAUUUCGUGGAGGUCCGAACCCACGAGCGUUGAAAAGCUCGGGGAUGACUUGUGGGUAGCGGUGAAAUUCCAAUCGAGCCCGGAGAUAGCUGGUUCUCCCCGAAAUAGCUUUAGGGCUAGCCUCAAGGUGAGAGAUACGGAGGUAGAGCACUGAAUGUCCUAGGGGGUAUUGCACCUACCGAAGACUAUCAAACUCCGAAUGCCGUCAUCUUAUACUUGGGAGUCAGACUGUGGGUGAUAAGAUUCAUAGUCGAAAGGGCAACAGCCCAGAUCGUCAGCUAAGGUCCCUAAAUGUAAGUUAAGUGGUAAAGGAUGUGGGAUUGCACAGACAACCAGG